UACGGGAGGUGCAAGCGUUGUUCGGAAUGACUGGGCGUAAAGCGCACGUAGGUGGGUUUUUAAGUCGAAUGUGAAAGCCCUGGGCUCAACCCAGGAGUUGCAUUCGAUACUGGAAAUCUUGAAUGCCUGAGGGGUUAGUGGAAUUCCAGGUGUAGGAGUGAAAUCCGUAGAUAUCUGGAGGAACAUCGGAGGCGAAGGCGGCUAACUGGCGGUGCAUUGACACUGAGGUGCGAAAGCGUGGGGAGCAAACAGG
This 253-nucleotide ribosomal RNA is filed under the name uncultured bacterium. Its description in RNAcentral is "partial 16S ribosomal RNA". It matches the Rfam family "Bacterial small subunit ribosomal RNA", at positions 524 to 776 of the family's 1533-position model. The record is from RNAcentral.